ACGAACGCUGGCGGCGUGCUUAACACAUGCAAGUCGAGCGGUAAGGCCCCUUCGGGGGUACACGAGCGGCGAACGGGUGAGUAACACGUGAGCAAUCUGCCCUUCACACGGGGAUAACUCCGGGAAACCGAAGCUAAUACCCGAUACAACCACUGUAGACAUCUACCGGUGGUGGAAAGUUCUGGCGGUGAAGGAUGAGCUCGCGGCCUAUCAGCUAGUUGGUGGGGUAACGGCCCACCAAGGCGACGACGGGUAGCCGGCCUGAGAGGGUGACCGGCCACACUGGGACUGAGACACGGCCCAGACUCCUACGGGAGGCAGCAGUGGGGAAUAUUGGACAAUGGGCGAAAGCCUGAUCCAGCAACGCCGCGUGAGGGAUGACGGCCUUCGGGUUGUAAACCUCUUUCAGCAGGGACGAAGCGCAAGUGACGGUACCUGCAGAAGAAGCACCGGCCAACUACGU
This 463-nucleotide ribosomal RNA is filed under the name uncultured bacterium. Its description in RNAcentral is "bacterial SSU rRNA". It matches the Rfam family "Bacterial small subunit ribosomal RNA", at positions 29 to 506 of the family's 1533-position model. The record is from RNAcentral.